This is a long non-coding RNA of Gasterosteus aculeatus aculeatus (three-spined stickleback), 541 nucleotides long. The record is from Ensembl. Lineage: Eukaryota; Metazoa; Chordata; Actinopteri; Perciformes; Gasterosteidae.
GGGAGAGAGAGAGAGAGAGAGAGGGAUGCAGUGGAGAGGAGGAUCAAAGCCACUACAGCGACGAGCGAGGAUGAAACCAACACUGGUGAAGGUUGAGUGGAGCAGCGUGGACGUACUGAAGGUAGAGAGACACGUUCCAAAGAGACAGCAGCAAGAUGACACCCUGUCACUGCGCUGAUUGGAUAGCACGGACCAGCUGAUCCGAGUGGCUCACAUCGUGAUUGACAGCUCAGAACCACGAGCACAGCGACGUAAUGAGGCAGAUGGGAGAAGUAGACUGAUGUUCCUGUUACACCUGAUCACCGCGCACCAUCACAGAGGAGGGAGCGCUUCUUUUUUCUCUCCCUCCGCUCCUCUUCAGCUGCGAGAGAUGAAUGGAUUUGAAGCAAAGGCGCCGGCGAGAGUCGGGACAGGUGGCAGCUUCGAUUAAAUGUUAAAUGAUGAAGAUGGGGGCGGGGGGGGGGGUUACCGCCUCCGUAGCCCCCGGGCAACCGUCCCCGGAAACGCCAGAGGGAUCGCCGGUCAGGCUGAUUCAUGACCC